Molecule: ribosomal RNA, 1267 nt
Filed under: uncultured Bordetella sp.
Lineage: Bacteria; Pseudomonadati; Pseudomonadota; Betaproteobacteria; Burkholderiales; Alcaligenaceae
Description: partial 16S-23S ribosomal RNA intergenic spacer
Rfam family: Bacterial small subunit ribosomal RNA
Source: RNAcentral
GCCUCGCACCAUUAGGAGCGGUCAGAUAGCACGGUAGAUUAGCUAGUUGGUGGGGUAAUUCAGCUCACCACAGCGACGAUCCGUAGCUGGUUUGAGAGGACGACCAGCCACACUGACUGAGACACGGCCCAGACUCCUACGGAGCAGCAGUGAAUUUUGACAAUGGGGAAACCCCGGAUCUACGUUGGUAUCCCGCGUGUGCGAUGAAUAGCUCUUCGGGGUUAAAAAGCACUUUUUGGAGAGAGAAACGGUACGGGAGAAUAUUCCCAAAACUGACGGCAUUCACAGAAUACACCAUACACCAUGCGUUGCGCAGCCGCGGUAAUACGUAGGGUGCAAGCAACGGAAUUACCGGCGUAAAGGUGCGCAGGCGUUCGAAAAGAAAGAUGUGAAAUCCCAGAGCUUAACUUUGGAACUGUAUUUUAAUCAAUGAGCUAGAGUGUGUCAGAGGGAGGUGAAUUCCGCGUGUAGCAGUAAAAUGCGUAGAUAUGGAGGAACACCGAUGGCGAAGGCAGCCUCCUGGGAUAACACUGACGCUCAUGCACGAAAGCGGGGAGCAAACAGGAUUAGAUACCCUGGUAGUCCACGCCCUAAACGAUGUCAACUUAGCUGUUGGGGCCUUCGGGCCUUGGUAGCGCAGCUAACGCGUGAAGUUGACCGCCUGGGGAGUACGGUCGCAAGAUUAAAACUCAAAGGAAUUGAUUGGGACCGCACAAGCGGUGGAUGAUGGAUUAAUUCGAUGCAACGCGAAAAACCUUACCUACCCUUGACAUGUCUGGAAUCCCGAAGGAGAUUUGGGAGUGUCAAGAGGAACGCUGGAACACAGGUGCUGCAUGGCUGUCGUCAGCUCGUGUCGAGAUGCUGGGUUAAGUCCCGCAACGAGCGCAACCCUUGUCAUUAGUUGCUACGAAAGGGCACUUGUCGUGAUCGCCGGUGACAAACCGGAGGAAGGUGGGGAUGGACGUCAAGUCCUCAUGGCUCCCAGGGUAGGGCUUCACACGUCAUACAAUGGUCGGGACAGAGGUCGCCAACCCGCGAGGGGGAGCCAAUCCCAGAAACCCGAUCAACUGGAUCGCAGUCUGCAACUCGACUGCGUGAAGUCGGAAUCGCUAGUAAUCGCGGAUCAGCAUGUCGCGGUGAAUACGUUCCCGGGUCUUGUACACACCGCCCGUCACACCAUGGGAGUGGGUUUUACCAGAAGUAGUUAGCCUAACCGUAAGGAGGUGACACGGUAGGAUUCAUGAUCAGUGAAGUCGUAACAAGGUAA